GGAGAGGUGGCCGAGUGGUUGAAGGCGCACGACUCGAAAUCGUGUAUGCGUGCAAACGUAUCGGGGGUUCGAAUCCCCCCUUCUCCGCCA
This 90-nucleotide transfer RNA is filed under the name Saccharimonas aalborgensis (SeqCode). RNAcentral describes it as "tRNA-Ser". It matches the Rfam family "tRNA". Rfam says of the family: Transfer RNA (tRNA) molecules are approximately 80 nucleotides in length. Their secondary structure includes four short double-helical elements and three loops (D, anti-codon, and T loops). The record is from RNAcentral. Lineage: Bacteria; Candidatus Saccharimonadota; Candidatus Saccharimonadia; Saccharimonadales (SeqCode); Saccharimonadaceae (SeqCode). RNAcentral also lists the same sequence under 1 other name.